GAUGAACGCUGGCGGCGUGCCUAAUACAUGCAAGUCGAGCGAACGGACGAGAAGCUUGCUUCUCUGAUGUUAGCGGCGGACGGGUGAGUAACACGUGGAUAACCUACCUAUAAGACUGGGAUAACUUCGGGAAACCGGAGCUAAUACCGGAUAAUAUUUUGAACCGCAUGGUUCAGAAGUGAAAGACGGUCUUGCUGUCACUUAUAGAUGGAUCCGCGCUGCAUUAGCUAGUUGGUAAGGUAACGGCUUACCAAGGCAACGAUGCAUAGCCGACCUGAGAGGGUGAUCGGCCACACUGGAACUGAGACACGGUCCAGACUCCUACGGGAGGCAGCAGUAGGGAAUCUUCCGCAAUGGGCGAAAGCCUGACGGAGCAACGCCGCGUGAGUGAUGAAGGUCUUCGGAUCGUAAAACUCUGUUAUUAGGGAAGAACAUAUGUGUAAGUAACUGUGCACAUCUUGACGGUACCUAAGCAGAAAGCCACGGCUAACUACGU
This 496-nucleotide ribosomal RNA is filed under the name uncultured bacterium. Its description in RNAcentral is "partial 16S ribosomal RNA". It matches the Rfam family "Bacterial small subunit ribosomal RNA", at positions 28 to 506 of the family's 1533-position model. The record is from RNAcentral.